GAAAGACUCCCCCACCGGAGUCCGAUCAAAGGAAUACAAGAUGAGAUGAGAAGACCCGUAACCCCUUUCCCUCUCUAUCCUUAGACCAGAAUCAUACCUCAUGGCCUCCUCUGCCAACGCUUAUCUGUUGCUGAAGGUAUGACUUUCUCCCUUGACGUCCUUGCUUCCUCUGACUCCCAUAUGAUUAGGUGUUCCCCCUCUAAAGAGCUCACAUUGCUGGCACUUUUGGCAUCCAAAAGCCUUCUUCUCUCCAUGGAUUCUUUACCUUUAUUACGGGCUGUGGGUUGAUUUAAGCUGACCUCUUCCAAAACAACCUCUGGGCCACUCCCAAUCUGAGCCCAUCUUUUGGGCUGGCUAACUUCUGGACCACUAGGACUGGACGUCCUCUCAAUUAAUAAUUGGACCCUCUCUGCAUUCGGCCCAUCUGGGCCCUUUUCUAUUGCCCCUAAACUUGUCACCUGGGCCUGAUAUCCUUUUGAAACCCAGCCCAAGUUACUAGCCUUCCAGCCCAUUCUGUUUUCUGGAUUUAAUAAACCCAUGGGCCGUUCAAAGUGGGCCUGGGGCUUAACUAGGGUGGCUUCAUUCAUAUAGCCUACCCCUUCAUCAGCCCAAAUCUUGGAUGGCCCAGCCUGUAGCCCCACCCCCUCUUCCAGCACACCCUUCAAUUUUAGGCCCGAAAGAUCCGGCUUACAGCCCCUAUGCCCCAUGGGCCCUGACUGUUGGGCCCAAUCCUCUGUCCCCUCCCAUCCCCUGUCCCUCGUCUGUCUCCCUGUCCCCUCCUCUGACUGUACCAGAGCCUCAGUCCUGUCAACGACCGAUUCCAUCUCCACACGCGAGCCAGCGCGUGAGCUACUCUCGUCCCUGACCUCCUCCCAUCUGUGGCUAGCAACCCUUAGCUUCUUGACUGUCGGCCUGAACUCCCACCAGAGUGCAAGCGUGAGGACUUCCUCCUCAAUCUCAAUCUCCAGCGUACUCGGCUUGUUACCUCCGGUCGAUCUAACCAGGAUCCGAGCCCAUUGAAGCUCUUCCAGUUUCUUCGUCUUCGAGUCGAUGUCGAUGAAGCCUCCACAUUCCUCCCCCACCCUUCUCAACACAGUCGGAUUCCACAGUAGCACUGGUAGCCCAAAAAUUCUGACCCACAUCUCGUUGCUUUCUUCCUUCUCCACUCUGCAUCCAUCCCAUGGUCUCCAUUUAUCGAACCCCAGCCUUAUCGCUCCCAUCCUUUUUUCACCUGAGAGGGAGGCCCGUUUAGCUUCUUCCAAGUGUUCAAACUCCAACAAAACUCUACUCUCUUCCAAUUUUGCCAACCCUAGGCUCCCUUUCAGACCCCAAGAACUCGCCAGAAACCUCCCCCAUUUUUCCAAAUCUUCUUCAUCCCCAAAACUAGGGUUCCAACUCCCGACAACACAGUACUCCAAUUUUUCCAAAUUACUUUGUAUUUCCUUCCUCCCUACCUUCACUUGAACUGGGCUUAUACCUCUACACGUCGGUNNNNNNNNNNNNNNNNNNNNNNNNNNNNNNNNNNNNNNNNNNNNNNNNNNNNNNNNNNNNNNNNNNNNNNNNNNNNNNNNNNNNNNNNNNNNNNNNNNNNCUCCUAUCACCCUUGAUACUGCAACCUGAUAGGUAGCCUCCAGCAACCGCCCUCCUAAUUAGGGCAUCUAGCACUUCCAUUCCCAAGACGAAGAGGUAAGGAGACAAUGGAUCCCCUUGACGAAGCCCUUUAGAACUCGAGAAGAAUCCAACUGGAACCCCAUUAACAAGAACUGAGAAUUUGGUUGUAGAAAUACAACUCCACAUCCACCCCAACCACUUAGAGCCAAAACCCAUUUUGUGUAGAGUCUUCAGCAAGAACUGUCAAUUGAUGUUGUCAUACGCUUUCUCAAUAUCCAACUUGCAAAUGAGCCCUUUCUCUUUUCUUUUCUGCCAUGAGUCUAUCACCUCAUUCGCAAUAAGAGAAGCAUCAAGGAUUUGUCUUCCCAUCACAAAUGCAUUCUGAGUUGGGGCUAUCACUUUGUUUAACACUCUCUUGAGUCUAUUAGCUAACACUUUAGCCAUCAAUUUGUAUAGCCCCCCCAGGAGACUAAUGGGUCUAAAAUCUCCCAAGUCAGCCGCUCCCCUUUUCUUAGGAAUCAGAACCAGAAAGGUGUUAUUGAGGCUUUUGAGAAAGGAGCCUUGCUCAUGAAACUCCUUAAACAUCUCCAAGACCUCCUCUUUCACGAAAUCCCAACAGCUUUGCCAAAACGCCAUAGUAAAACCAUCCGGCCCAGGGGCUUUAUCCCCACUCAUCUCCAUUAAGGCUGAAUGAAUCUCAUUUUCAGAGAAUGGAAUCUCAAGACUCUCUGCUUCUUGCUGGCUAAUUUGAUCUAAUUGGAUCCCUUCAAUAUCCGCCUUCCACCCCACGUCUUCUGAGAACCUCUGAUGAUAAGCAUUUGCAAUCCCCUCCCGUACAUCCUGAUCCUCUACCAACCAAACCCCAUCAAUUUUUACUCUAUCCAACGAGUUGUUGUUACGGUGGGCAUUCGCCAUCCGAUGAAAAAAUCCCGUAUUUUUGUCCCCUUCCUUAAGCCAAACCUCCCUUGAGAGUUGUCUCCAAUGACUUUCUUCCAAAAGAAUCCAUUUUUUAUAGCUUUCCUUUGCUUCCUUUUUUAAUUCUAUCUCUUCCAAGGACAAGCUUCUUUCACUUUCCACACCGUCCCAAUAGUCCACUUGUUGCAAGGCUGCUCUUUUGUUACCUUCCAGAUUACCAAAGACCUCUCUAUUCCAAACUUUCAGUUUCUGUUUGAGCUCUUUCGUCUUUGCUGCCAAUCUGUAGCUAGCAGUGCCCCUGACCUCAAUUUCCCUCCACCAACUCCAGAUAAGAUCUAGAAAACCCUCAACUUUUAACCACAUAUUUUCGAACCUGAAGGGAGAAGGACCUCUCCUUAGCCCGCCUCCUUCUAGCAGAAUAGGAAAAUGGUCUGAAACAGGACAAGGCAGCCUUCUUUGAAUCACCCCACUGAACUUGUCUAGCCAGCUAGGAGACACCAAGAACCUGUCCAACCUUGCCCAGGACUGGUUGUUCAAGCCCCCACUCCAAGUAAACACUCCCCCUUGCAACGGGAGAUCUACCAGCCCUAAAUCAUCAAUGAUAUGAGCAAACCUCCUCAUGGUCGGUGUUAUUCUCCCUUGGCGGCUUCUUUCUCCUUGAUAAAGGGUACUAUUAAAGUCACCUCCUAGGCACUAAGGCUCGUCCCAGAUUCCUCUUACAGCCCCGAGCUCUUCCCACAGGCCCUCUCUUUCCUCUUUGGUGAAUUGGCCAUAGACUCCCGUAAACACCCAAACAGCCCCAUCCUCCACAUUCUUGAAUCUACACGAAAGGGAGUACUGUCCUUCCUCCCAAUCCACAACUUCCAGCGAUCUUUUAUCCCAGCAAAUCAACAGACCUCCCGCCGCCCCAUCCGCAUCCAAAGCCCUCCAAUCUAAGAAUCUUCCCGAGCCUAAACUUCUCACCACCCCCUCUGACAUUGGCUGGAUUUUUGUCUCCUGAAUACACAGUAAGUCAACUUUUUGAUUCCUUAUAAAAGUCUUAAUAAUUUUCCUCUUGGACCUGUCAUUUGCCCCUCUCACAUUCCAACUUAACAGCUUCAGCUUCAUUAAUCUACUGUAAGUUGAUCCCCUUUGCCCUGUACAAGGCUUUUUUGCUUACACCCUUUCUCAUAAUUAACUGAGCACUCCAGUCUCUUCAAUUCCCUCUCAAAUUUUGACUUCUCCAUCAAUUCUUUGUUAUGAAUUCUCUCCCGUCUCUUCCUUAUUUUGAGCAAGAAGUUCAAAAUUUCCUUUUCCAACCCUUCUGUCAAAAAGCCCAAAAAAUGAUUGAACUUGGCCAAACUGCUUUCUUCCCAUCUAUCCUCUUUCUCACUUCUAGCUUCUUGAAGUUCUGUCCUCUCUGAGUUCCACUCCACCCCCCUAGCCAAAUUUGGAUCCUUAUUGAAUUCUACCAAGUCCCAGCAUCCCUUGUCAUCCAUUCCGGGACCUACUUCAUUACUUUCCUUUAGCACCCCAGAGUGAUCGAAAGGCUCCCCCACCGGAGUCCAAUCAAAAGAAUACAAGAUGAGAUGAGAAGACCCGUAACCCAUUUCCCUCUCUAUCCUUAGACCAGAAUCAUACCUCAUGGCCUUCUCUGCCAGCGCCUUGUCUGUUGCUGAAGGUAUGACUUUCUCCCUUGUCUUCCUUGCUUCCUCUAACUCCCAUAUGACUAGGUGUUCCCCCUCUAAAGAGCUC
This 4260-nucleotide long non-coding RNA is filed under the name Vitis vinifera (wine grape). Its description in RNAcentral is "long non-coding RNA (VVIN_LNC001583)". Lineage: Eukaryota; Viridiplantae; Streptophyta; Magnoliopsida; Vitales; Vitaceae. The record is from RNAcentral.